UGAGCCCUUGGGUCGUCCCCGUUGCAGCUAAGUUGUGCUGUGAAUGAAAAACACAGCCAGAACGCCAGUACCUCCUCUGUGGGACAGUAUCAGAAACCAGCUUUCAAGGGAAGAUCCUGCUGUCUGCACGCUGAGGACCCCAACAAAAGAAUUAAGGUCGAGCCACAAAAUUUGUAAAACCUGUCAAAAGAAGACAAAUCAAUAGUAGGCAAGAAAGAAUGAGGCAAAGGGGAAAUGAC
This is a long non-coding RNA of Fukomys damarensis (Damara mole-rat), 239 nucleotides long. RefSeq lists it as uncharacterized. Lineage: Eukaryota; Metazoa; Chordata; Mammalia; Rodentia; Bathyergidae. The transcript is spliced from 3 exons. The record is from RefSeq and is a predicted model, not a curated record.